Paramuricea clavata is the source of this 375-nucleotide non-coding RNA. Lineage: Eukaryota; Metazoa; Cnidaria; Anthozoa; Malacalcyonacea; Plexauridae. The record is from the annotation of a GenBank genome assembly.
UGCUACAGGGAUUGCUCUAAGCAGUCAGCUGCCUGGCUGUUUACUGUCAGUCUCUCAAGAUAAAAUGGUGAAAGUCUGGGACAUACAGGUAGGCGUUUUUUCUCAUUACUCACUUUUAUCGACGUCGAUUCCACUGUUUCAAUUCACACAAUUUUCAUCCAAUUCACCCUUCCUUUCUUUCUUUUCAACAGGACAACAAGCCUUCCUUCGUCGUUUCUCGGGAUAUGAAAAUGGUUAGUAAUGACAAUUGAAUUACACGUUUGAAUGGCAGCAGAAUGGUGGUCCAUUUCACAAAAAUUCACGCUUAUAUUAAGAGCGAGAAAAUUACACUACAUCUCUCGAAUGUUAAAGGGUUUUGGAGAGCAGGAAUCGAGC